UUUUUUUUUUUCUUUUUUUUUCCCCCAAUUUGUUGCACCUGCUUCGCUGCUGGUGGGCGUCCUUGAAAAGGGAACACAGUCCUGCACAAAUCAGAGAUGCCGGGACAAAGAAAGAGUUGCAAACAGAAGACAGGAUGCCAGUUACCCCACGUGCUGACAACAGGCUUCAGAGGGGGGAAAGGUGAGAACAGGACACAUGACAGAAAAAAAAGUGUGGGCAUCUGUGCUGCACGGGGUCCGGAAACUGGACACCUGGAUUUCCCCCAGGUGCCUGUUCUGGGUCUACCUGGUGGUACUUUUCCUUGCAGGCAUGAAGUUGCCUAGCCAUUGCGAUAACAUUGACCUGGAGAUGCGCAUUAAUAUUGCCACAUGGCAAACUUCAUUAUGAAGCCUUGUUUUAUUAAUGACCAAGCUAAACUGGUUGGUUACCUUCUGUUUGCUCUUUCCCAAACAGCUACAGUCCACCACACCACCCAACGUUUUAGGCCUUUCUUCUGGUCCUUUCUUUUGUGGCUAUUGUUUCAAGGUGUUCUCUUCAGAGAGGAUUGUGUCCCUGGCUCAGAAGCCUUCCCUGACCCACCAGGCCUCCACUCCACAUAUUUCUGCACCCUUCACUUGUUUCUGCCUCCCUCCAUGCUUACUGCAUUUUGAAGCCUAGAGGUGUUUCCUUGUCCUAAUUUCUUGGCCAUUGCACAUCUUAGUGGAUUCUGUGCAAUGAGUUGCUGUAGCUGACAGGACACUUGCUUAGGAGUUAGAGUGACCUGGGCUUGUUCUCAACAAGUGGAAACUGCUGGAGGAAGCUAGCCAAUUCGGUCUCCCUUUUCUGAUCUGUAAAAGUGGACCUGAAACCACCUCUAAAUUCAGGCUGGCAAGCUAAAUAAAAUAAUCUCUCUUACU
This 897-nucleotide long non-coding RNA is filed under the name Mus musculus (house mouse). RNAcentral describes it as "long non-coding RNA chr7:81993274-81994171". The record is from RNAcentral. Lineage: Eukaryota; Metazoa; Chordata; Mammalia; Rodentia; Muridae.